CCUGUUAAGUUGCAGUCUUGGUUAGUUAUUCUUUAAUUGCCAAAGGUAAUAAAGGAUAAAAAAUACAAAAGAUGCUUCUUGUCUACCGUUGUGGUGGUUUACUUCUACUGAUACCGAGAUGCUGUUUUUCAUUUUAAAAUUUUUCUUUUGCAGGUUCCCAAACUUCUACGGUUUGAUUAAACUAAUAGCAGAAACAUGUGCUUCAAAGUUGGAACUUGAAGACUUGAAGAAACACAACACAGUCACCACACAGGUUAAUCCAUUUUUUUAAUCAUCAUCUUAAGCUGCAUUACAUUAAUUAUACUUAAUGAGUUGCACCAGAAGUGAUUAAGGGUGUGGAUCUUGAUUCGAUUUUGUGCAUUAGAGACAUUUUGCUACGGUAUUGUCCCCUUUGGUUGCUGUGUUUGGCCGUGCUUCGCGGCGUUUUGCUAGUCUAUAAGGAAGCAAUCUGCUUCUCUAAUUGGUUUUUCUAUUGAAAAGAGAACCUUUUUAUGAUUUGAUUAUUAUACAAGUUAACAAUUUAAUAAAGAGGAAGGAGAAGAAAAAGUUUUGAACCAUGUUGCUAAUCUAAUUGGUUUUAGAGUCAGCUUCUCUGUAUUUGAGGCUUUGUUUUCUUCCUUUUGGUCCUUCUCUGUGUUUGUGCUUUUAGAUCUCCAAGGGAAGAAGUUAAGUUAGUUGCAUAAAAGGAUCAAUUUGGUCCCCACUUCUCACACCCUCACUUCUUGGAACAUCCUCACUUGCUAUUUAAGGGAAUGGUUUUGGUUAUGGUUAGACUAAUUUGGAAGAAGUGGAGGUUGUGAUCCUUGAGACUUUUCGGUGGUCUUGCACUUAAUUGAUCUUUUGCUCUUCAAGAGUUUUUUUUUUCCUAGGGGAGAAGAUGAAGUUCAUGAAAAUUGGUUCAAAGCCAGAUUCGUUCAAAACUGAUGGGAACAAUGUCAGGU
Molecule: long non-coding RNA, 941 nt
Filed under: Capsella grandiflora
Lineage: Eukaryota; Viridiplantae; Streptophyta; Magnoliopsida; Brassicales; Brassicaceae
Description: long non-coding RNA (CGRA_LNC001807)
Source: RNAcentral